AUACGGAGGGUGCAAGCGUUACUCGGAAUCACUGGGCGUAAAGCGCGCGCAGGCGGCUAUUUAAGUUGGAUGUGAAAGCCUACGGCUCAACCGUAGAACUGCAUCCAAAACUAUUUAGCUAGAGUGUGGGAGAGGAAGAUGGAAUUAGUUGUGUAGGGGUAAAAUCCAUAGAGAUAACUAGGAAUACCAAAAGCGAAGGCAAUCUUCUGGAACACUACUGACGCUGAGGCGCGAAAGCGUGGGGAGCAAACGGGAUUAGAAACCCUUGUAGUCC
RNAcentral lists this ribosomal RNA (274 nucleotides) under uncultured bacterium. Its description in RNAcentral is "partial 16S ribosomal RNA". It matches the Rfam family "Bacterial small subunit ribosomal RNA", at positions 523 to 796 of the family's 1533-position model. The record is from RNAcentral.